This 66-nucleotide transfer RNA is filed under the name Kikihia sp. 'acoustica'. RNAcentral describes it as "tRNA-Gln". The record is from RNAcentral. Lineage: Eukaryota; Metazoa; Arthropoda; Insecta; Hemiptera; Cicadidae.
UAUGUUAUAGUUUAUGAAGAACAUUAAUUUUUGAUAUUAAUAGACAGUUUGAUUCUGUUAACAUAA